This 1490-nucleotide ribosomal RNA is filed under the name metagenome. RNAcentral describes it as "bacterial LSU rRNA". It matches the Rfam family "Bacterial large subunit ribosomal RNA", at positions 1441 to 2925 of the family's 2925-position model. The record is from RNAcentral.
CUACCGAUGUGUAGUGCGAUGUGGGGACGGAGAAGGUUAACUCAGCCAACUGUUGGAUAUGUUGGUUCAAGCUUGUAGUCGUGCCUGGUAGGUAAAUCCGCCGGGCUUAGAUGAGGAGUGAUAACGAGUCUGCUUGCAGACGAAGUGAGUGAUACCCUGCUUCCAGGAAAAGCCACUAAGCUUCAGCUACACACGACCGUACCGCAAACCGACACUGGUGCGCGAGAUGAGUAUUCUAAGGCGCUUGAGAGAACUCAGGAGAAGGAACUCGGCAAAUUGACACCGUAACUUCGGAAGAAGGUGUGCCUUUAGUAGGUGAACCAUUUACUUGGGGAGCCCAAUGAGGCUGCAAAAAAUCGGUGGCUGCAACUGUUUAUUAAAAACACAGCACUCUGCUAAGACGAAAGUCGACGUAUAGGGUGUGACGCCUGCCCGGUGCUGGAAGAUUAAAUGAUGGGGUGCAAGCUCUUGAUUGAAGUCCCAGUAAACGGCGGCCGUAACUAUAACGGUCCUAAGGUAGCGAAAUUCCUUGUCGGGUAAGUUCCGACCUGCACGAAUGGCGUAAUGAUGGCCACACUGUCUCCUCCUGAGACUCAGCGAAGUUGAAAUGUUUGUGAUGAUGCAAUCUCCCCGCGGAAAGACGGAAAGACCCCAUGAACCUUUACUGUAGCUUUGUAUUGGACUUUGAACAGAUCUGUGUAGGAUAGGUGGGAGGCUUUGAAGUGUGGUCGCUAGAUCGCAUGGAGCCAACGUUGAAAUACCACCCUGGUGUGUUUGAGGUUCUAACCUAGGUCCAUUAUCUGGAUCGGGGACAGUGCAUGGUAGGCAGUUUGACUGGGGCGGUCUCCUCCCAAAGUGUAACGGAGGAGUUCGAAGGUACGCUAGGUACGGUCGGACAUCGUGCUAAUAGUGCAAUGGCAUAAGCGUGCUUGACUGCGAGACUGACAAGUCGAGCAGAUGCGAAAGCAGGACAUAGUGAUCCGGUGGUUCCGUAUGGAAGGGCCAUCGCUCAACGGAUAAAAGGUACUCUGGGGAUAACAGGCUGAUACCGCCCAAGAGUUCAUAUCGACGGCGGUGUUUGGCACCUCGAUGUCGGCUCAUCUCAUCCUGGGGCUGUAGCCGGUCCCAAGGGUAUGGCUGUUCGCCAUUUAAAGAGGUACGUGAGCUGGGUUUAAAACGUCGUGAGACAGUUUGGUCCCUAUCUUCCGUGGGCGCUGCAGAUUUGAGGAAGCCUGCUCCUAGUACGAGAGGACCGGAGUGGACGAACCUCUGGUGUAUCGGUUGUCACGCCAGUGGCAUUGCCGAGUAGCUAAGUUCGGAAGAGAUAACCGCUGAAAGCAUCUAAGCGGGAAACUCGUUUCAAGAUUAGAUCUGCCGGGGCCUUGAGCCCCCUAAAGAGUCGUUCAAGACCAGGACGUUGAUAGGUCAGGUGUGGAAGCGCAGUAAUGCGUUAAGCUAACUGAUACUAAUUGCUCGUGCGGCUUGACUCC